AUGCAGUCGAACGGAAGGCCCCUUUGGGGGUACUCGAGUGGCGAACGGGUGAGUAACACGUGAGUAACCUGCCCUUGACUUCGGGAUAACUUCAGGAAACUGGGGCUAAUACCGGAUAGGAAUCCUUGCUGCAUGGUGGGGGUUGGAAAGCUUCGGCGGUUUUGGAUGGACUCGCGGCUUAUCAGCUUGUUGGUGGGGUAGUGGCUUACCAAGGCUUUGACGGGUAGCCGGCCUGAGAGGGCGACCGGCCACAUUGGGACUGAGAUACGGCCCAGACUCCUACGGGAGGCAGCAGUGGGGAAUAUUGCACAAUGGGCGGAAGCCUGAUGCAGCAACGCCGCGUGCGGGAUGACGGCCUUCGGGUUGUAAACCGCUUUCAGCAGGGGCGAAGCUUGUGGUGACGGUACCUGCAGAAGAAGCACCGGCUAACUACGUGCCAGCAGCCGCGGUGAUACGUAGGGUGCGAGCGUUGUCCGGAUUUAUUGGGCGUAAAGAGCUCGUAGGUGGUUGAUUGCGUCGGAAGUGAAAACUUGGGGCUUAACCCUGAGCGUGCUUUCGAUACGGGUUGACUUGAGGAAGGUAGGGGAGAAUGGAAUUCCUGGUGGAGCGGUGGAAUGCGCAGAUAUCAGGAGGAACACCAGUGGCGAAGGCGGUUCUCUGGACCUUUCCUGACGCUGAGGAGCGAAAGCGUGGGGAGCGAACAGGCUUAGAUACCCUGGUAGUCCACGCUGUAAACGGUGGGUACUAGGUGUGGGGUCCAUUCCACGGAUUCCGUGCCGUAGCUAACGCAUUAAGUACCCCGCCUGGGGAGUACGGCCGCAAGGCUAAAACUCAAAGGAAUUGACGGGGCCCCGCACAAGCGGCGGAGCAUGCG
Molecule: ribosomal RNA, 874 nt
Filed under: Cutibacterium avidum
Lineage: Bacteria; Bacillati; Actinomycetota; Actinomycetes; Propionibacteriales; Propionibacteriaceae
Description: bacterial SSU rRNA
Rfam family: Bacterial small subunit ribosomal RNA
Source: RNAcentral